RNAcentral lists this ribosomal RNA (1284 nucleotides) under Triticum aestivum (bread wheat). Its description in RNAcentral is "partial small subunit ribosomal RNA". The record is from RNAcentral. Lineage: Eukaryota; Viridiplantae; Streptophyta; Magnoliopsida; Poales; Poaceae.
AUGUACCGAUGCACCAUAUGCCUCAAGAACAAGAGUAACACCGUGUCUCAAGUUCUGCUGCAGCUGUCUUGCCUGCGAAUUUCUUCAUUGAGACAAGGACUAUGCACACCAGCCUAUGGAGGCUUCUUUGAAUUUGAUCUUCAAAAGGAAAAGAAGAUAUCUCUGAGAACUCUGAUUGAUCCGUCAGCGGUGAAGAGCUUUGGCGGUGGUGGCAGGGUCUGCAUCAUGGCCAAAGUUUAUCCCAUAGCGGUUGUCGAGAGUGGAGCCCACAUGUGUGCCUUCAUUAACGGCGGUACCACGAUCAGAGCACGCGAGAUGUUGACCACGCAUGACGCAUCGCUCCAAUCGCCCAUGUUUCUCGCAGCGGUUUGGCUGCGCGUUAGUUGCAUCUUCGGUUCCCACGCGCUUGCGCGUAGCUCCAGCGAGGGCAUGAACUCACCGGCCCGUCUUGCAUUAGCCGCGCUGCGCCCCUGCUUUGUUCUUCGACUUGACCCUCUAAUGGAUUGGGCGCAAGGAGGCGAAUCAAUGGCGCCGACGCUCGCCGCCCCGGGAGCCUCUCCGGCGGACGGCCAUAGAUCCCGAGCCGCUGCAGUUGAUCCAUUUUUAGCGAGCCCUGAGAUUGACAGAGGGGGGGCGGCCCGGCACUGGAUUUCCCCGGCGGCCAGCCCGUCCCUGCGCCUCCUCUCGGCUCUCGCACCGGACACUCCUGCCUCCCGCUCAGAUUUGGCCCCUGUUCGUGCUCUGCCUUUGCUGAAUCCCCCUCCCACUCCGCCUAGCAUGCUCCUGGAGGAACAAGAGAGGGCGCAGAUGGACCAGAGUCACGGGCCGCCACACCUCUGUCCUUUUCUCAAGCUAUACAGGACCCUAGGCUACUGGCGGUCGCUAACACGCAGCUUGCAGCACAGGACGGUGGUCGGGGAACCGGCGACGCUCCAUUAUAGCACCGGCGUCCACACGCAAUGUCGUCGCAGAGCCUGCGACACUCCAUUGCAGCGCCGACGGCCACACACGAAGCCUGCGACGCUCCAUUGCAGUGCCGAAGGGACAGCAGAAAACGGGGAAGCAGUUGUGGCCCUACGGUGUAGCAGCAGGAGUGGUCGGAAUACAGGCGAGCUCGGCGCAAUGGCUGCGGCUCGGUCGAGCUCGGGAGAAGGCAGGAGAGGCGUCGGACGGCUGUGCGUGAGGGGCUGCUCCAUGGUGUGCGGCCGGUAUCCUCCUGUGAAGAGAGAGAGAGAGAGAGAGAGAGAGAGAGAGAGAGGGGGUGAUGGUGAUAGACGGAGGUAA